GGGUCAGCAGGUUGGUCGUGCCACCGGUACGUACUGGUCUCACUGAUUCCUCCUUCCUGAAGAACCGUAAUGCCAUUAAUUUGGUGUUGCGAGGAAACAGGACUGUUACUUUGAAAAAAUUAGAGUGUUUAAAGCAAGCUAACGCUUGAAUACAUUAGCAUGGAAUAAUGAAAUAGGACGAUCGAUCCUAUUUUGUUGGUUUCUAGGAUUGACGUA
This 216-nucleotide ribosomal RNA is filed under the name Glomeromycotina sp. RNAcentral's name for it is "partial small subunit ribosomal RNA". The stretch from base 40 to 216 matches the Rfam family "Eukaryotic small subunit ribosomal RNA", at positions 686 to 864 of the family's 1831-position model. The record is from RNAcentral. Lineage: Eukaryota; Fungi; Glomeromycota.